UAGAAUGACUACAAGUGACAGCCGAGGCA
RNAcentral lists this non-coding RNA (29 nucleotides) under Mus musculus (house mouse). The record is from RNAcentral. Lineage: Eukaryota; Metazoa; Chordata; Mammalia; Rodentia; Muridae.